RNAcentral lists this ribosomal RNA (253 nucleotides) under uncultured bacterium. RNAcentral describes it as "partial 16S ribosomal RNA". It matches the Rfam family "Bacterial small subunit ribosomal RNA", at positions 524 to 776 of the family's 1533-position model. The record is from RNAcentral.
UACGUAGGGUGCAAGCGUUGCCCGGAUUUAUUGGGCGUAAAGGGCGCGUAGGCGGGCAGUCAAGUCUGUGGUGAAAUCCUCCGGCUCAACCGGAGAAUAGCUGGAGAUACUGACUGUCUCGAGGGGGGUAGGGGCAUGUGGAACUUCCGGUGGAGCGGUGAAAUGCGUAGAUAUCGGAAGGAACGCCGGUGGCGAAGGCGGCAUCCUGGACCAAUAUUGACGCUGAGGAGCGAAAGCCAGGGGAGCAAACGGG